GUUUUUUGUACCUAAUUAAAGUGUCUGAGUUGCAGUCAGGUGAUGCCGGUUAGAGUUCUGCAGGCCUUC
Molecule: transfer RNA, 69 nt
Filed under: Cnemaspis hangus
Lineage: Eukaryota; Metazoa; Chordata; Lepidosauria; Squamata; Gekkonidae
Description: partial tRNA-Ala
Source: RNAcentral